Molecule: ribosomal RNA, 455 nt
Filed under: uncultured soil bacterium
Lineage: Bacteria
Description: bacterial SSU rRNA
Rfam family: Bacterial small subunit ribosomal RNA
Source: RNAcentral
AGAACGAACGCUGGCGGCAUGCCUAAUACAUGCAAGUCGAACGAGAUCUUCGGAUCUAGUGGCGCACGGGUGCGUAACGCGUGGGAAUCUACCCUUGGGUUCGGAAUAACAGUUGGAAACGACUGCUAAUACCGGAUGAUGACGAAAGUCCAAAGAUUUAUCGCCCAGGGAUGAGCCCGCGUAGGAUUAGCUAGUUGGUGAGGUAAAGGCUCACCAAGGCUACGAUCCUUAGCUGGUCUGAGAGGAUGAUCAGCCACACUGGGACUGAGACACGGCCCAGACUCCUACGGGAGGCAGCAGUAGGGAAUAUUGGACAAUGGGGGGCAACCCGUGAUCCAGCAAUGCCGCGUGAGUGAUGAAGGCCUUAGGUUGUAAAGCUCUUUUACCCGAGAUGAUAAUGACAGUAUCGGGGAAUAAGCUACCGGCUUAACCGUCCGCGACCAGCACGCCCGCGU